UUUAAACAGUGUUUAUUUGGUUUUUAGCACAAAUGGAUAUUAUCAAUUAUGAAAUAAUUGAUAAGGUGAAAUAUAUUUAAUCAGGUUGACUAUUUUAGGUUUUUUUUAACUUAGUUGAAAUAUAAACUCGAAAUCAAACUUAAUUGUGAAAUGAGGAUGAUAACUCAAUUUUGUCAAAUUUAGAGAUUCUAGAAUUUGGUCGGAGAUUUUAGAAAAUAUCUAGACUUCUGUAGGUUCUGAAGUUUAUGCAAAAUAACAGAGUGAGUCCUACUGGGAUCGGGUUUUUAUCUGAGUGAUCCAGGGGAGUUUUCUGGAUGGGUUAAAUUUUGGAUACCCGCGUGGGCGCGAGAAUAUAUUAUUGGUGGAUCUGCAAUUUUAAAAAAGAUGUCGCGGUGUAGGGAUGCUGUGAUUGGGACAACGCGAGGGCUGAGGGAUGGGCCCCUCCUUUCUGAGCGUUGGCGGGAUUUAUCUGGGAUGUGGCUGUUGGAUGUUUUCCGUUUUUUAGGACUUAAUUUCGUUAGAUGGUUCUUCAAGAUUUUGGGUGUGCGUUUUUAUGGUUUUUCUCGUUAUCAUAGUGUAACGGCUAUCUCAAGUGGUUUCACGUGCAGCUGCAUAGUUUUGCUAUCCACUUGAUCACAUUGCUCAUAUCUUGGGAAGGGAUGUGCUGGAGUCUGGGAAAUGUUUAUGUUAUAGGUUUUAUGAUUUUCUGGACUACCUGAUGGGUUUUACUUAUACUACAUUAUUCUAGAGUAUUCGUAAUAUAGUUAAAAAAUAGUUGAAAUAUUAUAGGUAAGGAAAGUUUAUAAGAGUUUGAUAGUAAUUACAUGUCGUGUUUGAUUAAUCUAAGAGAGAGCGCUGGCGCUAUUGGGACGUAACACUAUUGUAAAUAAUUUAUGAAUUCCUGCUACUGCAGUUGAUUUUGAAAAGCAUACUCGGUAUAUAAGAAUAUAUCAGCGUGAUCAAAGUAGAUUUUUAUUAUUUCUACUGCGAAAAUGGUCAAUUGUGAUUAUGUUAAUUGCUUUGAAUUUUUUCUACUUGCAACAAAAUUUCGUGCCGCAUAGCGAUCGGAUGGCUCCGGCUCGACUCGUUACUAUUCGUUCCCGCGUUAAAAAUAAGUCUGAAUUCGUUGUUCAAAAUCCUGUGCAACAAAUGGAUUGCCGCGUCUUUUUCAUAUUUCGAUUUGGGAUAGAUAUUAAUUCGUGAACUACUUUGAUAAGAUUUUGACCUUAACGGCAAUGCCUCCGAUUAUAUACAUGUAUUGGGGCACGGGAGACCAAUAGGAAAUCAGUGAAAUAGGGAUUGAGCUACGAGGGAGAUAUUAUAGGGAAUAAUUAUAAAGUGACUCACCUUGUUAGGACCCAUUGGGCGAGCUGGGUGAUCCGAUUGCCGGCGUGCCAAGCUUGGUAGUAGGUUGAAGUAAUCAAAUUCACAUGGGCAAAAUCAAAAGGUCAGGUAUCGAUCUUCGGAUAUUUAGAAAAGAUGUUCAUAUAAUUUAUAUGAAAGGUGAAUUUUAAUAAUAUAAUUCACGUUGUUGAACUCCGCAGAAGCUUCUUUCAGACACCGAUUAAUGUCUUCGGCUUCGUUUGCAUUCGCGUAUUUGAAGUGUGAUUUCCGUGAUCGUGGGGCAAAGGAAACCCUCGGCCUAAAUUCACUUGUUCAUUAUCAAUGCUUUUACAUUACUUUAAUAAUAAUGGUCACCAACUUGUCGAUCGACAAUUCCUUAUGAUAUUGUGUGGCAUUGUUAAUGGAUAUGACUUGUCUGUGAAUGAAAAUUGUGUUGUGUGUAUGUUUUGUGCAGCGUGUAGCUAUAUUUAUAUCUAUAUUAUACUACUAAUAUAAUUAUAUGAAAAUGAAUAUCAAAAUUAUGGAUAAUAAUAUUAUUUUUGCUGCUAACAAUAUUCAUCAAUUUAACCAUACGCGAGGGGGUAGUUAUGUCAUUGCAAU
RNA transcript from Athalia rosae (coleseed sawfly), 1944 nucleotides. RefSeq lists it as uncharacterized. The transcript has 2 exons. Lineage: Eukaryota; Metazoa; Arthropoda; Insecta; Hymenoptera; Athaliidae. The record is from RefSeq and is a predicted model, not a curated record.